Long non-coding RNA from Hemicordylus capensis (graceful crag lizard), 507 nucleotides. RefSeq lists it as uncharacterized. The transcript is spliced from 3 exons. Lineage: Eukaryota; Metazoa; Chordata; Lepidosauria; Squamata; Cordylidae. The record is from RefSeq and is a predicted model, not a curated record.
GGAAUCUGGUGACAUGAUGAGGAUGGAUCGAGAGCUGUAAAGACACGUGCUUUUUCAAGAGUAGUUGGGAAGGGAACAGUUUUGAGCAACACUGAGGGCCGUGGCAGAACAUUGUUGCUCCAUAUCACCAGCCUCAUCAGACUUCUGAAUGCACUGUGAAUGGCAGGCUUGCUGGCUCAAGCAAGAUGUCAAGGAGGAACUCUCAGAUCUCUAGAGGGGGUGCCUCGUGGUGCAGGAAGUCCAAGCAAGCGUGGCCCCAUCCAAGAGGCAGAGGGUCGACCCGGAAGAAGGGACCAGUGACUGACUCUGAGUCUACAGGCUGCCCUCUCAGAGUUCUGCUUCUGCCUAGCAUAGAUCGAAGGGGCAGCGCAGCUGGCAGAAGCUGAGAGCCCUUGAGGGACAAAGUAACUUCUGAGGGGGGAAAACUGGAAUAGCAGCUACAACCAAAAAAACAGCUAGACUGAAAGAAGUUAGGAGAAUUGACUCCCCUUCAGCCAGUCAGAGACC